RNAcentral lists this transfer RNA (71 nucleotides) under Loxodonta africana (African savanna elephant). It matches the Rfam family "tRNA". From Rfam's summary of the family: Transfer RNA (tRNA) molecules are approximately 80 nucleotides in length. Their secondary structure includes four short double-helical elements and three loops (D, anti-codon, and T loops). Lineage: Eukaryota; Metazoa; Chordata; Mammalia; Proboscidea; Elephantidae. The record is from Rfam by way of RNAcentral.
GCAGUAGUGGCUUAGAAGUAGAAUUCUUGCCUUUCCUGCAAGAGGCCUGGGUUCGAUUCCUGGCCAGUGCA